GUGCUUAUGCUUCUCCUCAUUUCAUGCCAUGAUAGGUUGAUGAUGUUAGAAGAAGAGCAGAUUUCCUUUCGUUCGGACUCUGCUAUGUUUGACAGCAUUGAAGACUACUCACAUCAAAUAGCAGAAAUGAUUGGACUACGGAAUGAAUCAAACUUUGCACAAGCUGGAGUAAGUGGAUUCUAAUUGUUAGACCUGGUUUCUGGUUGUACUUUCAGAAUGAAUCGAACUUUGCACAAGCUGGAGUAAGUGGAUUCUAAUUGUUAGACCUGGUUUCUGGUUGUACUUUCACUUGUGCUCCAGUGUUCAUCCUUGUAUUCGGAAUUCCUCUUAUAUAUGCUAAAAUUCCUUCAACAAGUGAACAAUGAUUUCCACUGGUUUGCUUGCUAUAUACAUAUCUAGAUAGUACAGCUACAUUAUUUCCAGAUAUUUUUGCUGUAGUUCGUUAAGAAAGCUUCUAUAACAUCCAGGAAAUUUUUCAUUGUGUAGUUAUCAAAUUCUUUUUUAUUUCUCUCCAUCGUUUGUUCUCGUUGAAUUUUUGUUUAAAUUUCUCUUCGGCCCUUGAAGGACUGCUUUCUAUCAGAUUUGGAAAUAUUAGUUCUUUUUAGCCCCAGUUUCUCCUUUUUGUCUGGUGCCAUUAAAGUUGCACCAAACUCUGACUACUGGAUAAUCCUGCUUCCUUUUCAGGUCCGAACUAUCUUGGAUAUCGGAUGUGGUUAUGGCAGUUUUGGGGCACAUCUCUUUUCUAGUCAACUAUUGACCAUGUGUGUUGCAAACUAUGAAGCUUCGGGCAGUCA
This 794-nucleotide long non-coding RNA is filed under the name Nicotiana benthamiana. Its description in RNAcentral is "long non-coding RNA (NBEN_LNC028457)". Lineage: Eukaryota; Viridiplantae; Streptophyta; Magnoliopsida; Solanales; Solanaceae. The record is from RNAcentral.